Molecule: ribosomal RNA, 479 nt
Filed under: Staphylococcus sp. MAL48
Lineage: Bacteria; Bacillati; Bacillota; Bacilli; Caryophanales; Staphylococcaceae
Description: bacterial SSU rRNA
Rfam family: Bacterial small subunit ribosomal RNA
Source: RNAcentral
UUCGAAGCAACGCGAAGAACCUUACCAAAUCUUGACAUCCUUUGACCGCUCUAGAGAUAGAGUCUUCCCCUUCGGGGGACAAAGUGACAGGUGGUGCAUGGUUGUCGUCAGCUCGUGUCGUGAGAUGUUGGGUUAAGUCCCGCAACGAGCGCAACCCUUAAGCUUAGUUGCCAUCAUUAAGUUGGGCACUUUAGGUUGACUGCCGGUGACAAACCGGAGGAAGGUGGGGAGGACGUCAAAUCAUCAUGCCCCUUAUGAUUUGGGCUACACACGUGCUACAAUGGAUAAUACAAAGGGCAGGGAAUCCGGGAGGCCAAGCAAAUCCCAUAAAAUUAUUCUCAGUUCGGAUUGUAGUCUGCAACUCGACUACAUGAAGCUGGAAUCGCUAGUAAUCGUAGAUCAGCAUGUUACGGUGAAUACGUUCCCGGGUCUUGUACACACCGCCCGUCACACCACGAGAGUUUGUAACACCCGAAGCC